Molecule: ribosomal RNA, 400 nt
Filed under: uncultured bacterium
Lineage: Bacteria
Description: bacterial SSU rRNA
Rfam family: Bacterial small subunit ribosomal RNA
Source: RNAcentral
UCGAGAAUUUUUCACAAUGGGGGAAACCCUGAUGGAGCGACGCCGCGUGGGGGAUGAAGGGCUUCGGCUCGUAAACCCCUGUCAUUGGCGAACAAGUGUUGCAUCCUAAUACGGUGCAACUUGAUAGUAGCCGAAGAGGAAGGGACGGCUAACUCUGUGCCAGCAGCCGCGGUAAUACAGAGGUCCCGAGCGUUGUUCGGAUUCACUGGGCGUAAAGGGUGCGUAGGUGGUUGGUUAAGUUUGAGGUGAAAGCUCCGAGCUCAACUCGGAAAAUGCCUUGAAGACUAUCUGACUAGAGGGUUGGAGGGGAGACUGGAAUUCUCGGUGUAGCAGUGAAAUGCGUAGAUAUCGAGAGGAACACCAGUGGCGAAGGCGAGUCUCUGGACAACACCUGACACUG